GACAGAGGUGCCGAGCGUUAGGCGGAAUCACUGGGCUUAAAGCGUGUGUAGGCGGAUCGUUAAGUACCUUGUGAAAUCCCACGGCUCAACCGUGGAACUGCUGGGUAUACUGGCGGUCUUGAGCCACCUAGGGGCGAGCGGAACAAACGGUGGAGCGGUGAAAUGCGUAGAUAUCGUUUGGAACGCCAACGGUGAAAACAGCUCGCUGGGGGUGUGCUGACGCUGAGACACGAAAGCCAGGGGAGCGAACGGG
This 253-nucleotide ribosomal RNA is filed under the name uncultured bacterium. RNAcentral's name for it is "partial 16S ribosomal RNA". It matches the Rfam family "Bacterial small subunit ribosomal RNA", at positions 524 to 776 of the family's 1533-position model. The record is from RNAcentral.